RNAcentral lists this unclassified non-coding RNA (341 nucleotides) under soil metagenome. Its description in RNAcentral is "partial contains 5.8S ribosomal RNA, internal transcribed spacer 2, and large subunit ribosomal RNA". The stretch from base 1 to 120 matches the Rfam family "5.8S ribosomal RNA", at positions 35 to 154 of the family's 154-position model. The record is from RNAcentral.
GAUGAAGAACGUAGCAAAAUGCGAUAAGUAGUGUGAAUUGCAGAAUUCAGUGAAUCAUCGAAUCUUUGAACGCACAUUGCGCCCCCUGGUAUUCCGGGGGGCACGCCUGUUCGAGCGUCAUUUCAACCCUCAAGCCCCCGGCUUGACGUUGGGCGCGGCCCCUCCCUCGGGGGGGGCCCGCCUGAAACCCCUCGGCGUCGCCGUCCGUCCCAGAGCGCAGCGAGUUUUCUGCCCGCGCUACUGGACCGGGCCGCUGGCCGCCGGUGAAUCCAUUUUCUCAAGGUUGACCUCGGAUCAGGUGGGGAUACCCGCUGAACUUAAGCAUAUCAAUAAGCGGAGGA